UGCGGAAGGAUCAUUAAAGAGUAAGGGUGCUCAGCGCCCGACCUCCAACCCUUUGUUGUUAAAACUACCUUGUUGCUUUGGCGGGACCGCUCGGUCUCGAGCCGCUGGGGAUUCGUCCCAGGCGAGCGCCCGCCAGAGUUAAACCAAACUCUUGUUAUUUAACCGGUCGUCUGAGUUAAAAUUUUGAAUAAAUCAAAACUUUCAACAACGGAUCUCUUGGUUCUCGCAUCGAUGAAGAACGCAGCGAAAUGCGAUAAGUAAUGUGAAUUGCAGAAUUCAGUGAAUCAUCGAAUCUUUGAACGCACAUUGCGCCCCUUGGUAUUCCGAGGGGCAUGCCUGUUCGAGCGUCAUUACACCACUCAAGCUAUGCUUGGUAUUGGGUGCCGUCCUUAGUUGGGCGCGCCUUAAAGACCUCGGCGAGGCCUCACCGGCUUUAGGCGUAGUAGAAUUUAUUCGAACGUCUGUCAAAGGAGAGGACUUCUGCCGACUGAAACCUUUUAUUUUUCUAGGUUGACCUCGGAUCAGGUAGGGAUACCCGCUGAACUUAAGCAUA
This 553-nucleotide ribosomal RNA is filed under the name Aureobasidium sp. RNAcentral describes it as "eukaryotic LSU rRNA". The stretch from base 197 to 350 matches the Rfam family "5.8S ribosomal RNA". Lineage: Eukaryota; Fungi; Ascomycota; Dothideomycetes; Dothideales; Saccotheciaceae. The record is from RNAcentral.